This 1488-nucleotide ribosomal RNA is filed under the name uncultured bacterium. Its description in RNAcentral is "bacterial SSU rRNA". It matches the Rfam family "Bacterial small subunit ribosomal RNA". The record is from RNAcentral.
UGGUUUGANNAUGGCUCAGGAUGAACGCUAGCUACAGGCUUAACACAUGCAAGUCGAGGGGCAGCAUGGUCUUAGCUUGCUAAGGCCGAUGGCGACCGGCGCACGGGUGAGUAACACGUAUCCAACCUGCCGUCUACUCUUGGACAGCCUUCUGAAAGGAAGAUUAAUACAAGAUGGCAUCAUGAGUCCGCAUGUUCACAUGAUUAAAGGUAUUCCGGUAGACGAUGGGGAUGCGUUCCAUUAGAUAGUAGGCGGGGUAACGGCCCACCUAGUCUUCGAUGGAUAGGGGUUCUGAGAGGAAGGUCCCCCACAUUGGAACUGAGACACGGUCCAAACUCCUACGGGAGGCAGCAGUGAGGAAUAUUGGUCAAUGGGCGAGAGCCUGAACCAGCCAAGUAGCGUGAAGGAUGACUGCCCUAUGGGUUGUAAACUUCUUUUAUAAAGGAAUAAAGUCGGGUAUGGAUACCCGUUUGCAUGUACUUUAUGAAUAAGGAUCGGCUAACUCCGUGCCAGCAGCCGCGGUAAUACGGAGGAUCCGAGCGUUAUCCGGAUUUAUUGGGUUUAAAGGGAGCGUAGAUGGAUGUUUAAGUCAGUUGUGAAAGUUUGCGGCUCAACCGUAAUAUUGCAGUUGAUACUGGAUAUCUUGAGUGCAGUUGAGGCAGGCGGAAUUCGUGGUGUAGCGGUGAAAUGCUUAGAUAUCACGAAGAACUCCGAUUGCGAAGGCAGCCUGCUAAGCUGCAACUGACAUUGAGGCUCGAAAGUGUGGGUAUCAAACAGGAUUAGAUACCCUGGUAGUCCACACGGUAAACGAUGAAUACUCGCUGUUUGCGAUAUACUGCAAGCGGCCAAGCGAAAGCGUUAAGUAUUCCACCUGGGGAGUACGCCGGCAACGGUGAAACUCAAAGGAAUUGACGGGGGCCCGCACAAGCGGAGGAACAUGUGGUUUAAUUCGAUGAUACGCGAGGAACCUUACCCGGGCUUAAAUUGCAGAUGAAUUACGGUGAAAGCCGUAAGCCGCAAGGCAUCUGUGAAGGUGCUGCAUGGUUGUCGUCAGCUCGUGCCGUGAGGUGUCGGCUUAAGUGCCAUAACGAGCGCAACCCUUGUCGUCAGUUACUAACAGGUUCCGCUGAGGACUCUGACAAGACUGCCAUCGUAAGAUGUGAGGAAGGUGGGGAUGACGUCAAAUCAGCACGGCCCUUACGUCCGGGGCUACACACGUGUUACAAUGGGGGGUACAGAGGGCCGCUACCACGCGAGUGGAUGCCAAUCCCAAAAACCUCUCUCAGUUCGGACUGGAGUCUGCAACCCGACUCCACGAAGCUGGAUUCGCUAGUAAUCGCGCAUCAGCCACGGCGCGGUGAAUACGUUCCCGGGCCUUGUACACACCGCCCGUCAAGCCAUGGGAGCCGGGGGUACCUGAAGUGCGUAACCGCGAGGAGCGCCCUAGGGUAAAACUGGUGACUGGGGCUAAGUCGUAACAAGGUACCC